RNAcentral lists this ribosomal RNA (768 nucleotides) under Karyolysus sp. Its description in RNAcentral is "SSU rRNA". It matches the Rfam family "Eukaryotic small subunit ribosomal RNA", at positions 94 to 850 of the family's 1831-position model. Lineage: Eukaryota; Apicomplexa; Karyolysidae. The record is from RNAcentral.
UGGCUCAUUAAAACAGUUAUAGUUUACUUGAUAAUAAAAUUUUACAUGGAUAACCGUGGUAAUUCUAGAGCUAAUACAUGAGCAAAAUCUUGACUUUUUUAGAAAAGAUGCAUUUAUUAGAUAAAAAACCAAUACAUACUUUUUAAGUAUGAAAGUUGGUGAUUUACAAUAACUUAGCAAAUCGCAUAGUGAAAACUGGCGAUAAAUCAUUCAAGUUUCUGACCUAUCAGCUUUCGACGGUAUGGUAUUGGCUUACCGUGGCAGUGACGGUUAACGGGGGAUUAGGGUUCGAUUCCGGAGAGGGAGCCUGAGAAACGGCUACCACAUCUAAGGAAGGCAGCAGGCGCGCAAAUUACCCAAUUCUAACAGCAUAAGAGAGGUAGUGACAAGAAAUAACAAUACAAGGCAGUUAAAAUGCUUUGUAAUUGGAAUGAUAGAAAUUUAAACACUUUUUAAAGUAUCAAUUGGAGGGCAAGUCUGGUGCCAGCAGCCGCGGUAAUUCCAGCUCCAAUAGCGUAUAUUAAAAUUGUUGCAGUUAAAAAGCUCGUAGUUGAAUUUCUGCUUAAAAUAACCAGUCUGCUUUUAACAAAAGUGGUAUCUUGGUGUGUUUUUAGCAAUAAUGUCCUUUGAAAUGUGUUUUACUUUGUUGUAAAAGGCAAUAUUCAGGAUUUUUACUUUGAGAAAAUUAGAGUGUUUCUAGCAGGCUAAUGCUUUGAAUACUGCAGCAUGGAAUAAUAAAAUAGGAAUUUGGUUCUACAUUAUUGGUUU